Molecule: long non-coding RNA, 438 nt
Organism: Scophthalmus maximus (turbot)
Lineage: Eukaryota; Metazoa; Chordata; Actinopteri; Pleuronectiformes; Scophthalmidae
Exons: 3
Source: RefSeq, a predicted model, not a curated record
AGAAGGAGAAAAUUGGUUUGAUUACGGAUACGGACGUGUCCACGAACUCUGGGAAGACGACUGACAGCUGAACGAUGUGUGCGACUGGAUGAUGUCAUCAUUCACACACUCUGUCAGCUCUCUUUGGCUAGGUCUGAGCUGGUCUCAUCCACAUCAGAAGUGGGCGGGGUCAAAAGGUGAGGUUCAUGAAGCGUCAGUCAUUUUGAACGUCUGAGCUUCUUCCUCCUUACCCUGAAGAUGGACAGAAGCAGAGCGUCCUGUGUGCAGCCGCUAGCUAACCUGCAGGAAGAGAGGCGAGGAGGUGGCGUGCGUCCUGCGCCUGAUCCACUCACCACGUGUUCGAUGCCACUGUACUCGCCCUCCGUGUUCUCCCGGAUGGUGACCAGGUCGACGUCGGUGUACGGAGUCUUGUAGCCCUCAAUGGAGACACAGGGGCGC